AGCGAACGCUGGCGGCAGGCUUAACACAUGCAAGUCGAGCGGGCAUCCUUGUGGUGUCAGCGGCAGACGGGUGAGUAACGCCUGGGAACGUGCCCUUCGGUUCGGAAUAACUCAGGGAAACUUGAGCUAAUACCGGAUACGUGCGAGAGCAGAAAGGUUUAUCUGCCGAAGGAUCGGCCCGCGUCUGAUUAGCUAGUUGGUGAGGUUACGGCUCACCAAGGCGACGAUCAGUAGCUGGUCUGAGAGGAUGAUCAGCCACACUGGGACUGAGACACGGCCCAGACUCCUACGGGAGGCAGCAGUGGGGAAUAUUGGACAAUGGGGGCAACCCUGAUCCAGCCAUGCCGCGUGAGUGAUGACGGCCUUAGGGUUGUAAAGCUCUUUUCUCCGGGACGAUAAUGACGGUACCGGAGGAAUAAGCCCCGGCUAACUUCGUG
This 437-nucleotide ribosomal RNA is filed under the name uncultured bacterium. RNAcentral describes it as "partial 16S ribosomal RNA". It matches the Rfam family "Bacterial small subunit ribosomal RNA", at positions 29 to 507 of the family's 1533-position model. The record is from RNAcentral.